AGUUCUGUGAUAAUUUCUGCAAAGGAUCAGGGGAGUUUACAUGGAUAAAGCAUAAUACAACACAGUUUCAACUAUCCCGAACGUAAUUCAUAUGUAUACUUCUGCUUCCACAUUUUCUUCGUCCAUGCAGUGGUAGAGGUGAAACAUAGUGCUUCCACCUUGAAAAAAUGUUUUGUAGCACUUGAGCUAAGUCCCAAGGACAAUCAGUGACAUUAGAUGCUCUAAAUGCCACCUUGACCCUUAUUUCAUGUCAGACAUCUGCAACAUUAAUUGUGUCCCCUAAGGCUCACAUCCCUCAGCUCAUGAUAUAACAAAAAGACAUGCAAAUAAUGUUCGCCUCUGCUAAUGAAAACCAGCCCUGACCCUACAGCUCUGACAGAGGCACCCAGAUCUGCAUUCACAGAUUCUCACAUUCUGUGAUCAUUAUUGAGCCCAGAACAUCUGACAUGGAGUUGAGACUGAGCUGGGUUUUCCUCAUUGCCCUUUUAAAAGGUAUCCAGUGUGAGGUGCAGCUUGUGGAGUCAGGGGGAGGCUUGGUGCAGCCGGGGAGUUUCCUAAAACUCUCCUGUUCAGCCUCUGGAUUCACUGUCAGUGCUGCCUGGAUGAACUGGGUCCGCCAGGCUCCAGGGAAGGGGAUGGAGUGGGUUGGCACAAUUAAACACAGACCAGAUAAUUAUGCAGCAUCCUAUGUGGAUUCUGUGAAAGGCAGAUUCACCAUCUCAAGAGACGAUUCCAAAAGCAGCAUCUACCUGCAAAUGAACAGCUUAAAACCCGAAGACACGGCCAUUUAUUACUGUACUAGACAUGGCACAGUGAGAGAUCUUCAGACAAAAAUAUCUUCCUGCAGAAGUGCUCAGAACCAGCAGGGGGCGCAGAGCGCACAUGGAAAACAAGCACAUUGCAGAAACAGGUGCAGACAUAAUUGAGGAUUGCUUCUGGUGUCUCAGUUGGCAUUGCAUCUAAUGAUUUCCCAGAAUGUUCUCUGCACUUGUGGUCUGUAUAUGUCUUUAAUGUCCAUAAAAGCAGAGUUCUGUUUUUUUCCCUCAA
Molecule: non-coding RNA, 1047 nt
Organism: Peromyscus maniculatus bairdii (prairie deer mouse)
Lineage: Eukaryota; Metazoa; Chordata; Mammalia; Rodentia; Cricetidae
Source: the annotation of a RefSeq genome assembly